UACGUAGGGGGCAAGCGUUGUCCGGAAUCAUUGGGCGUAAAGAGCGUGUAGGCGGUUCGGUAAGUCGUCUGUGAAAGUCCAGGGCUCAACCCUGGGAUGCCGGUCGAUACUGCCGGACUAGAGUUCGGAAGAGGCGAGUGGAAUUCCCGGUGUAGCGGUGAAAUGCGCAGAUAUCGGGAGGAACACCUAUGGCGAAGGCAGCUCGCUGGGACGUUACUGACGCUGAGACGCGAAAGCGUGGGGAGCAAACAGG
RNAcentral lists this ribosomal RNA (253 nucleotides) under uncultured bacterium. RNAcentral's name for it is "partial 16S ribosomal RNA". It matches the Rfam family "Bacterial small subunit ribosomal RNA", at positions 524 to 776 of the family's 1533-position model. The record is from RNAcentral.